AUGGCCCUGAAUCAAGGCCAGUAGUUUUCUGAAGCUUUUGGUUUCAAGCAGGAGCCUGAAGUGGUAUCUUUCUAUGGUCUGUUGGCUGUUUCAGAACUUUAGAAAUGUAACAGUCAAUUCAUUACAAAGAAACAGCU
Small nucleolar RNA from Cavia porcellus (domestic guinea pig), 137 nucleotides. The record is from Ensembl. NCBI's taxonomy places the organism in Eukaryota, Metazoa, Chordata, Mammalia, Rodentia, Caviidae.